AUGCCGUGCGCCGCCGAGCUUGUCAACGGUGAGGGGGGCGCUAUCAAGGUGGGCACAACCGGCACCAUCGGCUCGCUCAUGACGAGAGAACUGGAGGCCAUCAAAGUCGCGCCGCAAGGAGCUGCCACCCCGCGCCUGAGACGCCAAAGCAGUCCGGUUUCGGUGCCCUGCGGCGCUAGCCCCCGGAAGAUCAUCCCAAGGAAGAGCUCGUCCAGUGUCUCCAGCAGCAGCAAUGGCAGAGCUGACCGUGUGAGCGCUGAAGAAGCCUGCAAGACGAGGAGGAGCUCUCAGCGGAACAAGUCGAGCUCCCCAAUGCUGCACUCGGAUGGCGCGCUGGUUGACAGGAGCCCCAACUUCGAGAAGGCCAAGAAGAAAGGAAAUGUGCAUGGCGUCGAGGUGGUGGAUGUCAGGUGCGGUAAUCCGAUGAGCAGCCGCCUCAGGAAGCUGGGUUUCUCCAAGCUGUCGGAGACCUUUGCCUAG
RNAcentral lists this ribosomal RNA (480 nucleotides) under Triticum aestivum (bread wheat). RNAcentral's name for it is "partial small subunit ribosomal RNA". The record is from RNAcentral. Lineage: Eukaryota; Viridiplantae; Streptophyta; Magnoliopsida; Poales; Poaceae.